This 424-nucleotide ribosomal RNA is filed under the name uncultured prokaryote. RNAcentral describes it as "bacterial SSU rRNA". It matches the Rfam family "Bacterial small subunit ribosomal RNA", at positions 355 to 796 of the family's 1533-position model. The record is from RNAcentral.
UGGGGAAUCUUCGGCAAUGGGCGAAAGCCUGACCGAGCCAUGCCGCGUGGAUGAUGAAGGCCUUAGGGUUGUAAAAUCCUUUCGCUAGGGAAGAUAAUGACGGUACCUAGUAAAGAAGCUCCGGCUAACUCCGUGCCAGCAGCCGCGGUAAUACGGAGGGGGCUAGCGUUGUUCGGAAUUACUGGGCGUAAAGCGGGUGUAGGCGGAUCGGUCAGUCAGAGGUGAAAGCCCAGGGCUCAACCCUGGAAUUGCCUUUGAUACUGCCAAUCUAGAGUGUGGGAGAGGUGAGCGGAAUUCCGAGUGUAGAGGUGAAAUUCGUAGAUAUUCGGAGGAACACCAGAGGCGAAGGCGGCUCACUGGACCACUACUGACGCUGAGAUCCGAAAGCGUGGGGAGCAAACAGGAUUAGAUACCCCCGUAGUCC